AUUGAACGCUGGCGGCAUGCCUUACACAUGCAAGUCGAACGGCAGCACGGGAGCAAUCCUGGUGGCGAGUGGCGAACGGGUGAGUAAAGUAUCGGAACGUGCCCAGUCGUGGGGGAUCACGUAGCGAAAGUUACGCUAAUACCGCAUACGAUCUAUGGAUGAAAGCGGGGGAUCACAAGACCUCGCGCGAUUGGAGCGGCCGAUAUCAGAUUAGGUAGUUGGUGGGGUAAAGGCUCACCAAGCCGACGAUCUGUAGCUGGUCUGAGAGGACGACCAGCCACACUGGGACUGAGACACGGCCCAGACUCCUACGGGAGGCAGCAGUGGGGAAUUUUGGACAAUGGGCGAAAGCCUGAUCCAGCCAUGCCGCGUGCAGGAUGAAGGCCUUCGGGUUGUAAACUGCUUUUGUACGGAACGAAAAGGUUUGGCCUAAUAAGCUGAGCUCAUGACGGUACCGUAAGAAUAAGCACCGGCUAACUACGUGCCAGCCGCCGCGGUAA
RNAcentral lists this ribosomal RNA (500 nucleotides) under uncultured bacterium. RNAcentral's name for it is "partial 16S ribosomal RNA". It matches the Rfam family "Bacterial small subunit ribosomal RNA", at positions 30 to 523 of the family's 1533-position model. The record is from RNAcentral.